UUUAUUUUUUUAUUUAACCUUUAUUUAACCAGGUAGGCAAGUUGAGAACAAGUUCUCAUUUACAAUUGUGACCUGGCCAAGAUAAAGCAAAGCAGUUCGACAACAUACAACAACAGAGUUACACAUGGAGUAAAACAAAUAUACAGUCAAUAAUACAGUAGAAAAAUAAGUAUAUGUACAAUGUGAGCAAAUGAGGUGAGAUAAGGGAGGUAAAGGCAAAAAAGUCCAUGGUGGCAAAGUAAAUACAAUAUAGCAAGUAAAACACUGGAAUGGUAGAUUUGUAGUAGAAGAAAGUGCAAAGUAGAAAGAGAUAAUGGGGUGCAAAGGAGCAAAAUAAAAUAAAUACAGUAGGGGAAGAGGUAGUUGUUUGGGCUAAUUAUAGAUGGGCUAUGUACAGGUGCAGUAAUCUGUGAGCUGCUCUGACAGCUGGUGCUUAAAGCUAGUGAGGGAGAUGAGUGUUUCCAGUUUCAGAGAUUUUUGUAGUUCAUUCCAGUCAUUGGCAGCAGAGAACUGGAAAGAGAGACGGCCAAAGGAGGAAUUGGCUUUGGGGGUGACCAGAGAGAUAUACCUGCUGGAGAGCGUGCUACAGAAGACCAGUGAGCUGAUGGAGAAUGUGUCCCAGGUGAGGGCCCAGGAGAUAGCAGCGCUGAGGGGGAAGGUGGGGACCCUGGAGCCGGCCCUAGGGCUCAUGGUGGGGGAGUUUGAGAGAGACAGCACCGGGCCCUGGACAGCAUCCAGGCCGGCCAAGUGGAGUUGGACAAGUUGCAGAAGCUGCUGGCCAUGCGGGAGAAGGAGAUGGGGCGAGUGAAGCGGCAGCCAGAGCAUUGUGUAGCAACGCACAGAGCUAGAAUGAUUCUUCCAGGAGGUCCUGGGCAAGGUGAAGCAUGAGAUCCAGGCCUGCCGGCUGCAGUACAGGCAGGAGCCCCCCCGUAGGAGGAUGAGUAAGGCCUGGUCAGGCAAGCAGGAGUACUCCUGAAUCCACACCUUCCCCAAAACCCCUCACAGCACCAACAGUGUCUACACCGACCUGGAGGAAGCUGAGAAGUGG
RNAcentral lists this long non-coding RNA (1048 nucleotides) under Salmo salar (Atlantic salmon). Its description in RNAcentral is "lncRNA (ENSSSAG00000098436.1)". The record is from RNAcentral. Lineage: Eukaryota; Metazoa; Chordata; Actinopteri; Salmoniformes; Salmonidae.